Molecule: ribosomal RNA, 429 nt
Filed under: Bacteroidota bacterium
Lineage: Bacteria; Pseudomonadati; Bacteroidota
Description: Bacteroidetes bacterium partial 16S ribosomal RNA
Rfam family: Bacterial small subunit ribosomal RNA
Source: RNAcentral
UAGGGAAUCUUCGGCAAUGGGGGGAACCCUGACCGAGCAACGCCGCGUGAGUGAAGAAGGUUUUCGGAUCGUAAAGCUCUGUUGUUAAGGAAGAACGAGUGUGAGAAUGGAAAGUUCAUACUGUGACGGUACUUAACCAGAAAGGGACGGCUAACUACGUGCCAGCAGCCGCGGUAAUACGUAGGUCCCGAGCGUUGUCCGGAUUUAUUGGGCGUAAAGCGAGCGCAGGCGGUUAGAUAAGUCUGAAGUUAAAGGCAGUGGCUCAACCAUUGUAGGCUUUGGAAACUGUUUAACUUGAGUGCAGAAGGGGAGAGUGGAAUUCCAUGUGUAGCGGUGAAAUGCGUAGAUAUAUGGAGGAACACCGGUGGCGAAAGCGGCUCACUGGUCUGUAACUGACGCUGAGGCUCGAAAGCGUGGGGAGCGAACAGG